RNAcentral lists this ribosomal RNA (577 nucleotides) under uncultured bacterium. RNAcentral describes it as "bacterial SSU rRNA". It matches the Rfam family "Bacterial small subunit ribosomal RNA", at positions 338 to 916 of the family's 1533-position model. The record is from RNAcentral.
CCUACGGGAGGCAGCAGUAGGGAAUAUUGGACAAUGGGCGCAAGCCUGAUCCAGCCAUCCCGCGUGAAGGAUUAAGGCCCUCUGGGUUGUAAACUUCUUUUCUCUGGGAAUAAAAACCGGUAUUCAUACUGGCUUGAAGGUACCAGAGGAAUAAGCACCGGCUAACUCCGUGCCAGCAGCCGCGGUAAUACGGAGGGUGCAAGCGUUAUCCGGAUUCACUGGGUUUAAAGGGUGCGUAGGUGGCUUUGUAAGUCAGUGGUGAAAUGCCGCAGCUCAACUGCGGAACUGCCAUUGAUACUGCUUAGCUUGAAUCACGUCGAGGUGGAUGGAAUAAUACAUGUAGCGGUGAAAUGCUUAGAUAUGUAUUAGAACACCGAUUGCGAAGGCAGUUCACUAGGCGUGUAUUGACACUGAGGCACGAAAGCGUGGGGAUCAAACAGGAUUAGAUACCCUGGUAGUCCACGCCCUAAACGAUGUAAACUCGACAUUAGCGAUAUACUGUUAGUGUCCAAGCGAAAGCGUUAAGUUUACCACCUGGAAGUACGACCGCAAGGUUGAAACUUAAGGAAAUUGACGG